This 74-nucleotide transfer RNA is filed under the name Chloroflexota bacterium. RNAcentral describes it as "Chloroflexi bacterium (anaerobic digester metagenome) tRNA-Gln". It matches the Rfam family "tRNA". Rfam says of the family: Transfer RNA (tRNA) molecules are approximately 80 nucleotides in length. Their secondary structure includes four short double-helical elements and three loops (D, anti-codon, and T loops). Lineage: Bacteria; Bacillati; Chloroflexota. The record is from RNAcentral.
UGAGGGAUCGUCUAAUGGCAAGACACCUGACUCUGGAUCAGGCGAUCGGGGUUCAAAUCCCUGUCCCUCAGCCA